UUGGAGAAAUUCUUACUGAUGCAUUCCCUGCACAGGGGACUGUGGACCAAAUUAGUUUUGUUCCCAAUUCUUCUCAUCCUUUGCAGUUCAUUCAAGGACAUAUAACACUAUCCAUUACUGCAGAAUGGACAUAUACACAUAUUCCCUCCUCAAGGAAGUAAUCAGCAAUUCCCCUACAUAGUGAUCCUCAGCAGUGUCCUCACACAAAACUCAUAUUACAUGUAUGUCAUUGACCAAGUGCUGCAUUUUUCUGGGUCUCUGGAACUCCCCUUAUCUAAACCAAAGUCACAGGGAAAAUCGAGAUAUAUUGGACCUUCACUAAUAUCAUUCAUACAAGUGGAAGAAUCUUUAGACAGCAUUGCACCUAAAAAUUUCACUGUGGACUCUUGUUUCUCUUCAUCCAGUACUCCUGCGAUUUUGUCAUUCCAUAAUGACAUCUCCCACUGUUCGUACCUGUAUACAGGACUUUGAUACCGAUUCCUUCCUAGGCGUGGGUACUUAAUCCGUCUGCCGGUAUGAAAGGGAGCCAAAUAUAUCUUAUGUGAAAGGCCAACAGAAACAGAUGGCCACAGAACAUGGAGCACUCAGUAUUGCACAUGUAGUUCCUCAUGAUGGAGUCCAGCAAAUCUCUGAUCCAUAGGAACAUAAUUCUUCCUUAUUUUCCAGUUGAGACCUCACUCCCAGCUUUUGGUUUCUCUAAGGUGCUCUAUACGAUGUAGGAAGACAGACAGCACUUUUGCAGAUAACCUUUGUGCAUGGAGGCUUCACAUCAUCAAAUUCUUUCAAAAUGUAUUCAUUCUGCAAUGUCUUUUUCCAGAAGUCUCCUCACUACUUUACUUUUCCAAAAUUUCCUCAUACUACCACUCUAGAGACUUGCACAUCAACAUUAUUUUUCCUCUCUUCAGAUCAGUUACACUGACUUCCCUGCAGAAAACUUACCAGAAAUUUUCACAACAAAAGAAAGGAUUCUUUUAUAUUCCCUAGUCCCAUGAAGGAUAAAUCAGGAGAUACUCUUGUUGUAUAUGUCUCCUUUUAAAUGGCAUACAGGGCAUGGGAACACUCUUAUUCAUUCUCAGGCAGUCUGGGCACCAUCCACGUUUGCCCCCAACUCUAGGGGCUCUUAUGUUUAUUGAAUAAGUUCUUUUCCUUCCUAUGCACUGGAUCUUUGAGACAUCACUGUAAGUAUAUGGUUCCAGGGAAAGGUUACAUCGGAACAUACAUUUUAUUUACAUUUUCCCCUCCCAAAUCUUCACUCGUUCUUUACUAUUUAAUCUAUUUUCUGUAGAAUAUUCUCUUCCUUUUAAUCAGUUUCCUGAAAUGUCUUCAUCUACACUAUUUCAUAUCAAUGUUUUUCAUGUGUUUAAUAGGCUUGUAAGCUUGUAAUAUUUUCUACGUUUUUUUGCUCCCAUACACAAAUAUCAGAUUGAUCUGUAACUUUCCUAGAACUGUUUUCUUAUCACAUAUGUGAAAACUAGAACAUGUAUCCUGUACACAAAGGACACAGGGCUAUUCAUUUGACUUCUACCUGUAGUUUUCAGGAUGGUGGUUUUCUUUCAAAGGUUUUCUGACACGUUUGGCAUUUGACCAGGAAAAUUUAGGAUAUUUUCUUCCCACUCAGCGCUUUGUGGAAAAUUAACAACUACUUCAUCGACUUUCUCCAUAAAGUUAAUCUCUUCCCAAAAGACACAAAACUUUUCAUUUCCUAGCCAGGCUUUCUAUAUAUAUCCCUCUCUUUGUAUGUAACACACACACACACACACACACACACACACACACACACACACAUAUAUAUAUAUGUGUGCCUAAACAUCAUACUAUAAUUUUGACUCUCUUGCCUAAGUAUUUUAUGUCCCAUGAUAUUUGAAUAAUGAUGUUUGUACUACUUUUGUUAGUACAAAUAUUCCCUAUCGGUUCUUCAUGUUCUAAGACAUUUACACUUGAAGUAAGGUCUCAGAACUUCAUAUGCAGUAGAAAACAGGUUUGUAUAUUCCCCUCCAGAAAAGUAGGUGUAGAAUGUCCCUCUGUUCUCAACUUGGACUAAGAAGUUCCUUCUCAAAUCAGAGGAUGUUAUAUAUAUUACUGAGUGCAAACAGGACUGUAAAAUCAUGCCUCCUUACCAUUGGUAACAAGAAGAAAUGAAAUCCCAUGCUUCUGCUUCUCAAUAUUUCUCUUUCAGUUAAAAGAGGGAAAAGGUAAGACCAAACGAGAAGUCAUCAAACCUAAACUACUACACAAAGGUAGGCUUGGUAAUUCUCAUAUGUGUAAAUUAAAGUAUUUCUGCUACCCAAUUGAGCAUAGUAUCAGAUUUUCAUUAGUUAACUAAGAGUGACAUGCAGGAGUCCAUAUACAAUGAGGGGAAUUCAGACAUUCACUACCAGUACUGUAUUUUUGAGAGAUAACUUCCUAUGAGAAGAAAGUUAAAGAGAAUACCAUGUGUAUACUUAUGAAUAUCUACAAUCGUAACUGGUGUUUAAAACUAACCUCUAUGACCCAAAAUUAUUAUGAAAACUUCUUGAAAUUCAUGCUAACACUAGACCUAUCCUGUUUCCAUGGAGAACUGACAGUUAUGGAGACCAUAUCCCUCUUUGCUUGGUGGCACUUAAAUGUUCCAUUUUGAAAAGGAAAUUAUGGGAACACUAAUUUGAAGCCACAUUAAAAAAAUUCAGAAAAUCUACCUUGACAGCCAGGCCAUUUACUGACAAUUUUUCAUCAGAAGUAGGAUGUUUCUGUUCUUCAUGAUAACAUUUUUCAAGUUAUUUAAAAGUUUGAGAACCCAGAUCCAAGAAAUUACAUCUAAACUUGGAGAAGAACGUGAAGAUUUCUCUCAUGCCUUCAGUGGAGUUCCCAGUGACAGAGGCUUCCAAUACUUUCUGAAGAAUUCAAAUAUGACAAGAAUUUUCCUGGAUUGUGCUUUUCCUUACAAGUUGUAGAUAACAGAGAAAAAAGACAGAAAACAAAGCCUGGAAUCUACCUACUGCUUGCAUUUCAGUCAGUAGAAACUGUGUGAUCUCAACAUUGCAGCUCAGAUAUGGACUCAAGAGAUAUGGAUAAUCAAAAUUACAUUGGAGAUUGUAAAUUGAAGAGAAUGUUGUAGGACUAUACUUGAUUGUAUUGUACAAGCAACUGGAAGUUCACUUCAAAUGCCCGAAUCUUCUUAGAAGAAUUGUGAGAC
Molecule: long non-coding RNA, 3172 nt
Organism: Mesocricetus auratus (golden hamster)
Lineage: Eukaryota; Metazoa; Chordata; Mammalia; Rodentia; Cricetidae
Exons: 4
Source: RefSeq, a predicted model, not a curated record